Molecule: unclassified non-coding RNA, 900 nt
Filed under: Hevea brasiliensis (rubber tree)
Lineage: Eukaryota; Viridiplantae; Streptophyta; Magnoliopsida; Malpighiales; Euphorbiaceae
Source: RNAcentral
UAAAACUUCAAGAAGAGCUUGAACCUGAAGCACCAGCAAAGCACUAAUCAUAAUGGUAGAAAACAUCUGAGGAAGACCACAAUCUAGAUUUCAAAUCCAAGAACAUGUAAUAUGAAAUUACAUAAAAACAACAAUCUUGAAAAUCAUAUGGUUCAGCAAAUUUUAUUAACAGAAGGAGGAAUUUUUGGUCUAUGAAUAGCGCAACAAAGUAAACAAUGUGCAUCUUGAUGGAAGCAACAUGAAUUUAUCCCCAGUCUCUAAGUAUUAUCCUAGUUGAAUCAGCAAGACUAUUAGGGCAUAUGAACUUCAAGUCCGAUAGAAUUUACUUGUUUGUAUCCAAACAAAUGUCCCAGAAUUGCAUUGCAGUAAUUUUAUUUUUGAAAAUAUUACCAAAAUAAUGGGAGAGUAGAUGGGGAUGAGGGUUUUAGAGAGAGAAAUAUGUUCAAUUUUGAAAUAAGAAACAAUACAAGGUAACUUUAAGUAAAUCAUUCCAUGAUUAAAAAAAAAAAACUCUUUUCAAACAUCGAGGCAUUUGUAUUUGAAGAAAAAUAAAUUACUUUGUUCUUUUGAAACCCUGAAAGAUCUUAUAAUAUUCUCUAUUUGAUCAGGUAAACUAGGAAGAUUACGGCUAGCCCAAUCCUCCAUUUUUCAUCUCAGCCAAUACCUAACAACUUUUUUUAAAAUAUCAGAUAUAAACUGCACUUUUAGGUGUUAGAACAUAAAAACAUCAGCCAUCUAAUACAUUACACAAACUGGGAAUUGUCAUUAAUUUGCAGGUCAAGGUAAUAAUAAGAGUACUAUUAGUUAAAGAACUGUUCCACAACAAAAUAUCAAACAGAGAAAAGAAACAAAAUACAAAACAUACUCACUAUGUUCCCAUACUCACACGAGGUUCAAUAG